UACGGAGGGAGCUAGCGUUGUUCGGAAUUACUGGGCGUAAAGCGCGCGUAGGCGGCUUUGUAAGUUAGAGGUGAAAGCCCGGGGCUCAACCCCGGAAUUGCCUUUAAGACUGCAUCGCUUGAAUCCGGGAGAGGUGAGUGGAAUUCCGAGUGUAGAGGUGAAAUUCGUAGAUAUUCGGAAGAACACCAGUGGCGAAGGCGGCUCACUGGACCGGCAUUGACGCUGAGGUGCGAAAGUGUGGGGAGCAAACGGG
RNAcentral lists this ribosomal RNA (253 nucleotides) under uncultured bacterium. Its description in RNAcentral is "partial 16S ribosomal RNA". It matches the Rfam family "Bacterial small subunit ribosomal RNA", at positions 524 to 776 of the family's 1533-position model. The record is from RNAcentral.